This 23-nucleotide microRNA is filed under the name Chrysemys picta bellii (western painted turtle). RNAcentral's name for it is "Cpi-Mir-1329-v2_5p (mature (guide))". Lineage: Eukaryota; Metazoa; Chordata; Testudines; Emydidae. The record is from RNAcentral.
ACAGUGAUCAGGUUACGAGGGAU